CUUCAGUGCAGUUCAGGUGAACCACCCUGGUUCCCUUAAUACCUGGAAAGAAAAAAAAAAAAAAAAGUUAAUCUCUACCCUCAUGUGCUGUAUAUCAAGCACUCAACAUUUAUAACCCUGCAGCUGAUUGCUUAGCAACUGUCUUUGGGAGGAAGAACUCACCUGAUGUGCCAUCGGGAGCUCUUGUGUUGCGGGGAAGAGGCCGGAUGAAAUGAGGUCAGGCAGUGUAAGCUUACCCUGUGCUCAGUGGCGCUCGCUCCACUCUGUAAUGAAAUUAAUCAAGGUCAUUAAUUUGAUCCUUUUUUAUUGUUAUAAUUUGAGACUGUAAUUUGAGGUGGCUCAAAGAGGCACAGGCAUAUCUGUAAUUAUACCUUUAUAAUUACAUUUAUAUUUUAAGGUAAACAUUUUCACGUAUAGCUGUAAAUAGACUGUGCAUGUUAGAGAACAAACAUCAUCACGGCAGCAAACAUGGACUGUAAAUGGGAUGGGGGGAUAUUGGAACCUGCCAAUGGUGUGCUGUUUAAUUUGGUUUUAGGUGUUUCAUGUAUCUGAACAUCUUAAUGUUAAGACUGAGCUUAAACCCCUAGACAGGCCCAAAACCAAAGACUAAUUGAAAGAGAUACAGAAGAAUUGCUGCUUAGUCGCACUGACCUUUAAAAAUUACAGAGCCAAGGCACGGAGAUUGUCCUCAUCUGACAAUGCUUGAGGAGUUCAUGGUGGCUGAAGAAGCACGUGCCAGAGUCACCUCCAGACUGAUGGCUGUGACAGUGACCAGCGAGAGACCUGCUGCCAAUCCUGCAGGCGAUGGCCAGGAAAAAUUGCAUUGCUUGUUCUGUGUUUACAUCUCACUGGGUGAGACCACGGUGGGGGUAUGAGAGCACCUUUUGUCUGCACAGCCAAUUUGGCUGCCUCUGUUUCCCCCAGGCUCUGCUCACUGGCUGUCUCUGUGGCAUGCAUAUGAGCUCCCUCCUGUCUCUGCUCCAGAGCAAACCAACUGGUUUCUCCCAAGGAGAAACCUCAACACAACUGACAGGACUUUUUUUCAGGGUGGCACAGAAGAGCCUGGAAUGAACUGGACCAGACUCUACCCUGGAUAGUCCUCCAGCCAUCCCAGGAGACCUCAUGCCCACUGUCCUCCAUGCUGUGCUGUAGAACCCAAAAUGCCUUCAGAUCCUGCUGAAAAACAUCAUGCUGGCAGGCUGCCACCCAGUCCUUUCACCACUUAGAGAAUUUCAAACUUGAAAAUAGUUCCCAAUGCAACAAUUACUGACCUGGGUUCUGUGGGGCUCUGCAGGCAGCUCAGAGGAGACCCAGGCCAAGUGCUGCACAGCAUGAAGGUAACCACUGCCCUUCAGAGAGCGCUGGUCCUUAGUGGUGUGGACACAAGCCAGCCCAUAGCAAAGAGCAAUGGUUAAUGGUGCCUCCCAGGCAUUUUCCACAACGGCGGCAGCAUAUGCGCAGCCUUUGCCAAGUAGCCAACACUCAGCAUUUCCUUUCUUCUCCCUAAGACUAUUUCUGGACCUUACAAACUACUUCUUCCCUGUGGCUGAAUGCUUUGGCAGCAAAGUGGUGAGGACUCCCUGGGGUGACACACAAAUGGGUGACACACUAGUGUGUGAUGCAAUAGGUCUGUGAGAUCUCCAGAAGCAGGAUGAGGACACCAAGUGUGGGGAGCCCAGAAUGAGGGAAUCCCUGAGCCUGUGAAGGAAUAAGAAAAAUAGAGAUACUUCUGGGAGAAAGCCCAGAUAUUUAUACCAACCCUUCUCCAUUUUGGAAGGAAUCUCCUGAAGCAUGCAAGAAAUCUGGCAAUUUGCAUUAAAUAGUUGAAAAGAAAAAGUUGAGAUCUUUUUAGUGUGGUAAAAACUGAAUUCAUAGAUUAAUAAGAAAAGGGGAAUGAAAGGGUCCUGAGUUCUUUACUAAAUAAUAAUUUUGGUAUAGCUACCACCAAUACCUUGCAUAUCUGCCCUUUUCAGCAAACCAGUGGCAAAACUGGGAGCUUAACUCUUAAGGGCAUUGCCCCUGGUUGUCUGGCUUCUCUCUCAGCAAAUGAACAUUUUCCAUUUCUCAUGUCUAUUUACCUUAUAGUACAUAUAUGAUGUUUGUAACCAGACAUCUUUCUAUACUUGGUUUGUUCCCUUCUCCAUUUAAUAUACCUGAAAAGAAUAAUGAAGCCAAUCACCCAUGUCCAACAGCAAAAGCAUUUAUAGAAAACAUUCCAGCACACCUCUGCAGAAUGUGAACAUAGAUUUGUAAAAGAUGAAUGACAAAGGACCUGGCAGGGAUUGCAUGAAUAAGCCAUACAGAACCUCAAGACUCAGCUGUCAGGUCAGUGUGCUUUAUUUUAGCUUGGCACAAUUUUUAGAAAUGAUGUGGUAUUUUUGCAACUUUCAUUUCCCAGGUUUUCUGGAAUUGUUGAGAUGUCAAAACCACUGCUAUGACAAUGCUUGCUCCCCUCCAGAAAAAAAAAAAAACUCAAAACAUUAGCUUCUUGAGGUUUUUCAAUUUGAGUACCCAAACCCAAUGAUCCUUCCUGAAAAUGUUGGCUGUGGAAACGAUAUCAGUGCUAGGAGAGAGCCAUAAAACACCGUGCUCUUCAUAUAUUAUAUGUGAUGAAAGAAGGUGACAUCUCCAGGGAAAUCUUGCUUGAGGUGUGGGGAUGGGAUGUUAAUGGUCUGGGGAAGACAGAAAGUCUACAAGUGUAAUGAUCAUGUAAUGUCCCCAUGUGAGUAUAAACAUCCAGAUAGCUUUUUUUCCCUUUCCUAUUCCACAAAAAAAAAAAAAAAAGCACUUGAGAUGUAUAUAAACAAGGUACUUAGCUCUUCCCUACUCAAUACAUCUUGCUUGUUUUAAAGAUGGUGGGUUUUUGUUUUCAUUAUUAUUUUUCUGUUCUGCAAUCUGCAUCCUUUUUAUCUCACACAUUGGUACAACAGAUGAGCUCUCCUUUACAUCUGACAGUUUCAUUUCAGAGAAAAAUGGAAAAAUCCCUGCAGAAUCAGCAUUUUACAAACUUUUAAUCAAAUAGAAGAGAGAAGGAUGGAUGCAGACUGCAGGACUAAACCCUGAGAAGCCAGUGUGUGGGUGCCAGGAACACGCUGGAGGCCUGCCUGAGGAAAAAGGAUCUUCCCUGUCCAUGGGAACCAAAGUUGCAAGGGAUGAGGACAACUGGUUCUCAAGAGAAGCCCAUGCUCGUGGAUCCCAGCUUGCACCAUCUUGUCACAGUUUCAGUCUGGCUCCAGUUUGUUCUUUGUAACAGGAAAGUGAGCAGCUCUGAUGAGGUGGCCACUGUUAUAACCCAGCAGAGAACCAUAUGAAGACGUUUUCAUGGGCUGUCCAGGUUGCAGGCUUUGAAGUCCUGUUUGCUGAAGUCACUUGGGUAACCAAAGUCUCAGGGAAUUUCAGGGAGAUGGAAGCUCCUGGAUUCCUCUUCAUCUAAAGAUUCCUGAAUACUGCGUCUGGGGUCAAAUGGUUUUGAGUGCCAGUGUGCCAGAAACACCUGUCAGUGUCCUGUGAGGAUGACCAGGAAGGGGUAUCCCACACAAGGCUGCAGCUGAACAAGAACCAAGGUUCAGCUCAGGUGAAAUUAUGCUCAAGGCAGUAGUUUGCACCUGGUGCUGCUGCCUUGGGUUGAAGGCUUACCAGAGUGUUUUCUCCCCUAAGUGAUGUGCUCUGCAGCAGUGUGGCUGUCACCCAGCCUUGAAAAGAUGAGCGAUGCCCCAGAUCUCGCUGGUGGAGGGUAAGGUGAUCCGUCUGUUAUCUGUGUACACCUGCAGCCCUUCAGAAGCAGAGGAUUAGCAAAUAGGUUGUUGCAGUCAUACUUAAAUCUUGCAGACCCAAUUAUCUGUCUGUGCAAGCCCUACAGAUAUGGCACAGGAGCACAGCAAGCCCAUGGCCUCCCAGGAACCUUCCUGUACAGGAGACAUCCAAGAGAUCAUCAGCAGGUCCCUAUCAGGGCUGAUUAACAACCAUUUCACAGCAGAGGAAUUAUCUCAGCUGUAACUCAAGGCAUCAAGGACCAUCAACCCUGUCCUUAGAGCUCUUGGGGUUUCAUACAACAUUUCUGCUUCAAAAGAAAAGAACAGAAAACUCCAAAACUGAAAGACAUAAAGAAACAAGAUCCUACUGCAGAAGGCACAGAUAGCAUUCCAAAACAGAAAAAACUCUUUCUAGAACCAGAAGAUUGUCUGGAGAUUGGUGGGCCAGAGCUGUGUGCUGCUUCUUGAAGGACACUGACCCAAACAUCAGAGGACUCAAGAAGCACUAAGGGCUCCUAGAAAGGGUGUUUUUGAUUCAAAAUGUUCUGGGUCAGAAUCAUGAAGUCCUGUACAGCUGAAGACUAUGCAGUGAUCUCAAAGACCCUACACUGGAGCAGUGCAGGAGAGAAGAAGCAGCGACUAAACGGGACUGGAAGGAAAAACGAGCUGACAGCACGUUCAGAAUUCCUUUUAGCCUAUGGUGGAGUUAUGAGCAUCACCAAUGGAGCCUUUCACAAGAACAGGAGCUGGUUCCCAGCUUCCCAGGGGAUUCCAUUGGGAGCCACGGCCCAACAGCACCACCUGCCUCAGGCAAGGACCUGCCUCCUGGUACGAACAAGGUUUGCAUGGCAUUCUCAGCAUCCCUUUCAAAUCCUCUGGUCUGAGGAACGCAUUGCUCUCCCAUCCCUGUCCUGGCUCAACAACCAGAAUUUGUUUUUCCCAGUUGAAGCGGGGAGCAUCCCACCGCAUGAGCCCAAAGAAACACUUUUUAUAUAUCUGUUUUCCACUGAAACAGCAUCAUCUUCCUGAUGGCGUGGGGUCAGUUAAAGUUCUCAAGCUGUGCUGCGGAGGUUUUCUCCACAAAAGCGGGGGUGUUAACCAUGGUGGCAUGGCACAGCUCCAGCUCCGCUCGCUCCACUCGGCUCUCCCGCUGCUCUGGCAGCCGGGGCAGCGCACCCCGCUCUGUUUAAACAGCUGCCUCGUUCCAUCGGGGAGGUGGCUGCCCUUCAGUCCUGGGAGAAGAGCUCAUCUUCUGGGUAGUUUGCAUAACAAUUACCAUUUGUCAGCUGAGAUCUGCCUGGUGAAAGAUCACUGUUUACAAGUAGGCGGUGAGUCUUUGGAGGCUGCAAUACUUCUUGAGCCGCAAAAAACUAAGCUGAGAGUGGGGAGCCUGAAGGUGGGCUGAUUUCACACGGCAGGUUUAAGGAAGAGUUCCUUUUGCAUUCAGCUCAGAGGUAGAAAAGCGGAGCUGCCGUGAAAGGGGGGAUUCUUUAGCUCUUACAGAUUUCAUUCAGUUGUUCCAAUGAAAUAAAUACAUCCGCCUUAAACAAUUGAAAGAGGUAUUUACUGCCUGUGGUUUAACAACUGUACUAAGUCAAAGGGACCAGUCAACUAGAGCCUUAUAAUUCUUUUCUAAAGAGAGGAUGAGAGAAAAGAAUGAGACGACAAUGCAGUAUUUAUAAUAAAGAUGAAAUGAGUGGAACUCAAUGGCGCCAGCAGCCCUGGAGCUCCUGCUGCUUGGGCUAAUGCAUUUUGCAUUAGCACGUCUGGAUAUCUGGCACUGGAAGGUCCUGCAAAUGCUUUUACAAAAUAGCAGCAUUCUUACAGCAGCAGCAUUUCUUCCAAGCACCACCACUGACGGAUGCAGCUGGAUGGGCAGCCCCUGCAGCUGAGUGAACAGCAGGAAGUUUUCAGGUGACUGAGACCUGUUUUCCACUUACCUUCCUGCAGCCAGGUUGCUUUUUUACCUGCUCAUUCACACUGAUGAGUGCUUACACCGAGACUCCCUGAUGGAGCACUUGCUUGAGCACGAGUGGGUGUAAGGACAUCUGUCCCUGCCUGGGAGCUGGGGACUCACAAAGGCAGGAUCCCUGACUUCUCAAGUUAUACUGAGGGGCUACUGGACACAUAGACAUCAUGUUGAACAUACAAAAUUACAUCUGUAAGUAGGUUUGCUCUGCAUAGGCUAAAUAAAUAACAUCUGUGUUACAAGAACCCCCAUGUGAUCUCUAUUCCAUACUACUCCAUUACUCCAUCAGCUAAUCUUGUAUUUGCCUUGGAAGCAAUACAAAAUCCUCAAAGGAAUUAAUAGCCAGCAACUGCAGAUCACCCGAGCAAUUUAUUUUUCAUUCUUUCCCCCAACAGACUGGAGAGAUACGUGUCUCUCUUCUUCCUGAAACCUGGAUUUGAAAAGCUCUGUGUUGCCUCAUCUUCUCAUAGCCUUGCUGAACAACAGCAUUAGCAGUAAUGAUGAGGAAAGCACAGCAGCACCUCAGGACAAACUCUGGGACAAGUGGAAAGACCACCUGGGUGUAAUGUUGUAAGAAUCAGAUAGCAAAUGGUACCUUCUUUUUAUAACUGUUAUGUUAGAAAGGAUAAAUUCAGCACUUCAGGGUUUUCUCUAGGUUUUUGACAUAUACAAAUGAUUUAUUGUUCUAAGAAAUAAGUGA
Long non-coding RNA from Catharus ustulatus (Swainson's thrush), 6421 nucleotides. RefSeq lists it as uncharacterized. Lineage: Eukaryota; Metazoa; Chordata; Aves; Passeriformes; Turdidae. The transcript has 10 exons. The record is from RefSeq and is a predicted model, not a curated record.